AUUGAACGCUGGCGGCAGGCCUAACACAUGCAAGUCGAGCGAGCGGCGGACGGGUGAGUAAUGUCUGGGAAACUGCCUGAUGGUGGGGGAAAACUACUGGAAACGGUAGCUAAUACCGCAUCCCAUCAGAUGUGCCCAGAUGGGAGUAGCUAGUAGGUGGGGUAACGGCUCACCUAGGCGAGGGUCCCUAGCUGGUCUGCGUGGAUGACCAGCCACACUGUGACGGAGACACGGUCCAGACUCCUACGUGAGGCAGGUGGGGGUAAUAGUGCACAAUGGGCGCAAGCCUGAUUCAGCCAUUCCGCGUGUUUGAAGAAGGCCUUCGGGUUGUAAAGCACUUGCAUCGGGGAGGCGUUACCCUCAGAAGAAGGACCGGCUGACUCCGGGCCAGCAGCCGCGGUAGGAC
This 406-nucleotide ribosomal RNA is filed under the name uncultured bacterium. RNAcentral describes it as "partial 16S ribosomal RNA". It matches the Rfam family "Bacterial small subunit ribosomal RNA", at positions 30 to 526 of the family's 1533-position model. The record is from RNAcentral.